GACGAACGCUGGCGGCGUGCUUAACACAUGCAAGUCGAACGGAAAGGCCCUGCUCUUGUGGGGUGCUCGAUUGGCGAACGCGUGAGUAACACGUGAGUAUCCUGCCCUUGUCUUUGGGAUAACUUCAGGAAACUGGGGCUAAUAUCGGAUAGGAGCUCCUGCUGCAUGGUGGGGGUUGGAAAGUUUCGGCGUUUGGGGAUGGAUUCGCGGCUUACCGGCUUGUUGGUGGGGUAGUGGCUUACCAAGGCUUUGACGGGUAGCCGGCCUGAGAGGGUGACAGGCGACAUUGGGACUGAGGGACGGCCCAGACUGCUACGGGAGGCAGCAGUGGGGAAUAUUGCACAAUGGGCGGAAGCCUGAUGAAGCAACGCCGCGGGCGGGAUGACGGCCUUAGGGUUGUAAACCGCUUUCGCCUGUGACGAAGCGUGAGUGACGGUAAUGGGUAAAGAAGCACCGGCUAACUACGUG
RNAcentral lists this ribosomal RNA (468 nucleotides) under uncultured bacterium. RNAcentral describes it as "partial 16S ribosomal RNA". It matches the Rfam family "Bacterial small subunit ribosomal RNA", at positions 28 to 507 of the family's 1533-position model. The record is from RNAcentral.